AUUGAACGCUGGCGGCGUGCCUAACACAUGCAAGUCGAGCGGUAACAGGUGUAGCAAUACAUGCUGACGAGCGGCGGACGGGUGAGUAACGCUUGGGAAUCUGCCUGUUAGUGGGGGACAACCCGGGGAAACUCGGGCUAAUACCGCAUACGCACUACGGUGGAAAGCCGGGGACCGCAAGGCCUGGCGCUAACAGAUGAGCCCAAGUCGGAUUAGCUAGUUGGUAGGGAACGGCCUACCAAGGCGACGAUCCGUAACUGGUCUGAGAGGACGACCAGUCACACCGGAACUGAGACACGGUCCGGACUCCUACGGGAGGCAGCAGUGGGGAAUAUUGGACAAUGGGCGAAAGCCUGAUCCAGCGACGCCGCGUGGGUGAAGAAGGCCUGCGGGUUGUAAACCUCUUUCAGCUCCGACGAAGCGAGAGUGACGGUAGGAGCAGAAGAAGCACCGGCCAACUACGUGCCAGCAGCCGCAGUAAU
Molecule: ribosomal RNA, 482 nt
Filed under: uncultured bacterium
Lineage: Bacteria
Description: bacterial SSU rRNA
Rfam family: Bacterial small subunit ribosomal RNA
Source: RNAcentral